CGAUGACAGGGGGAGUGAGUAGUCUCUUUCAGUUACUUUAACAGUGAUUCUCCAUUUUGUUACACAUGGCAUAUAGCUGUUAAAUGGCACAAAGGAAGUGGGGGAGGAGUUAGUAAAGGAAGCUGUUAACACAGGAAUUUUGGUUACACGAGGUUUGCUUGAUGGGAAGGGGGAUGCUAGCAGGAUGAAGAAUUUACAUAGGAAACAGCAACUGAACACAUUGUAG
Pelobates cultripes (western spadefoot toad) is the source of this 226-nucleotide non-coding RNA. NCBI's taxonomy places the organism in Eukaryota, Metazoa, Chordata, Amphibia, Anura, Pelobatidae. The record is from the annotation of a GenBank genome assembly.